GAUGGACGCUGGCUACAGGCUUAACACAUGCAAGUCGAGGGGAAACGGCAUUGAGUGCUUGCACUGAAUGGACGUCGACCGGCGCACGGGUGAGUAACGCGUAUCCAACCUUCCCGUUACUGCGGGAUAACCUGCCGAAAGGCAGACUAAUACCGCAUGUUCUUCGAUGACGGCAUCAGAUUCGAAGCAAAGAUCCGUCGGUAACGGAGGGGGAUGCGUCUGAUUAGCUAGUUGGCGGGGCGACGGCCCACCAAGGCGACGAUCAGUAGGGGUUCUGAGAGGAAGGUCCCCCACAGUGGAACUGAGACACGGUCCAAACUCCUACGGGAGGCAGCAGUGAGGAAUAUUGGUAAAUGGGCGGAAGCCUGAACCAGCCAAGUAGCGUGCAGGAUGACGGCCCUACGGGUUGUAAACUGCUUUUAUGCGGGGAUAAAGUGAGGGACGCGUCCCUUUUUGCAGGUACCGCAUGAAUAAGGACCGGCUAAUUCCGUG
Molecule: ribosomal RNA, 492 nt
Filed under: uncultured bacterium
Lineage: Bacteria
Description: partial 16S ribosomal RNA
Rfam family: Bacterial small subunit ribosomal RNA
Source: RNAcentral